This 497-nucleotide ribosomal RNA is filed under the name uncultured bacterium. RNAcentral's name for it is "partial 16S ribosomal RNA". It matches the Rfam family "Bacterial small subunit ribosomal RNA", at positions 28 to 507 of the family's 1533-position model. The record is from RNAcentral.
GAUGAACGCUGGCGGCGUGCCUAAUACAUGCAAGUCGAGCGAACGGACGAGAAGCUUGCUUUUCUGAUGUUAGCGGCGGACGGGUGAGUAACACGUGGAUAACCUACCUAUAAGACUGGGAUAACUUCGGGAAACCGGAGCUAAUACCGGAUAAUAUUUUGAACCGCAUGGUUCAAAAGUGAAAGACGGUCUUGCUGUCACUUAUAGAUGGAUCCGCGCUGCAUUAGCUAGUUGGUAAGGUAACGGCUUACCAAGGCAACGAGGCAUAGCCGACCUGAGAGGGUGAUCGGCCACAUUGGAACUGAGACACGGUCCAGACUCCUACGGGAGGCAGCAGUAGGGAAUCUCCCGCAAUGGGCGAAAGCCUGACGGAGCAACGCCGCGUGAGUGAUGAAGGUCUUCGGAUCGUAAAACUCUGUUAUUAGGGAAGAACAUAUGUGUAAGUAACUGUGCACAUCUUGACGGUACCUAAUCAGAAAGCCACGGCUAACUACGUG